RNAcentral lists this transfer RNA (74 nucleotides) under Anaerolineales bacterium. Its description in RNAcentral is "tRNA-Gln". It matches the Rfam family "tRNA". From Rfam's summary of the family: Transfer RNA (tRNA) molecules are approximately 80 nucleotides in length. Their secondary structure includes four short double-helical elements and three loops (D, anti-codon, and T loops). The record is from RNAcentral. Lineage: Bacteria; Bacillati; Chloroflexota; Anaerolineae; Anaerolineales.
UGGGGACUCGUCUAAUGGCAGGACGGCUGUCUCUGGAACAGUCGGUAGUGGUUCGAAUCCAUUGUCCCCAGCCA